Molecule: ribosomal RNA, 551 nt
Filed under: uncultured bacterium
Lineage: Bacteria
Description: bacterial SSU rRNA
Rfam family: Bacterial small subunit ribosomal RNA
Source: RNAcentral
UAGGGAAUCCCUCGUCAAUGGACGGAAGUCUGACCGAGCAACGCCGCGUGAGUGAAGAAGGUUUUCGGAUCGUAAAGCUCUGUUGUAAGAGAAGAACGAGUGUGAGAGUGGAAAGUUCACACUGUGACGGUAUCUUACCAGAAAGGGACGGCUAACUACGUGCCAGCAGCCGCGGUAAUACGUAGGUCCCGAGCGUUGUCCGGAUUUAUUGGGCGUAAAGCGAGCGCAGGCGGUUAGAUAAGUCUGAAGUUAAAGGCUGUGGCUUAACCAUAGUACGCUUUGGAAACUGUUUAACUUGAGUGCAAGAGGGGAGAGUGGAAUUCCAUGUGUAGCGGUGAAAUGCGUAGAUAUAUGGAGGAACACCGGUGGCGAAAGCGGCUCUCUGGCUUGUAACUGACGCUGAGGCUCGAAAGCGUGGGGAGCAAACAGGAUUAGAUACCCUGGUAGUCCACGCCGUAAACGAUGAGUGCUAGGUGUUAGACCCUUUCCGGGGUUUAGUGCCGCAGCUAACGCACUAAGCACUCCGCCUGGGGAGUACGACCGCAAGGUUG